This 253-nucleotide ribosomal RNA is filed under the name uncultured bacterium. Its description in RNAcentral is "partial 16S ribosomal RNA". It matches the Rfam family "Bacterial small subunit ribosomal RNA", at positions 524 to 776 of the family's 1533-position model. The record is from RNAcentral.
UACGUAGGUGGCAAGCGUUGUCCGGAUUUACUGGGCGUAAAGAGCGCGCAGGCGGUCGUUCAAGUCGCGUGUGAAAGCCCCCGGCUCAACUGGGGAGGGUCACGCGAUACUGAUCGACUCGAAGGCAGGAGAGGGUAGUGGAAUUCCCGGUGUAGUGGUGAAAUGCGUAGAUAUCGGGAGGAACACCGAUGGCGAAGGCAGGUCUCUGGGCAUUAACUGACGCUGAGGAGCGAAAGCAUGGGGAGCGAACAGG